RNAcentral lists this ribosomal RNA (164 nucleotides) under uncultured bacterium. RNAcentral's name for it is "partial 16S rRNA". It matches the Rfam family "Bacterial small subunit ribosomal RNA", at positions 355 to 511 of the family's 1533-position model. The record is from RNAcentral.
UAGAGAAUCUUCCACAAUGGGCGCAAGCCUGAUGGAGCAACACCGCGUGAGUGAAGAAGGGUUUCGGCUCGUAAAGCUCUGUUGUUAAAGAAGAACACGUAUGAGAGUAACUGUUCAUACGUUGACGGUAUUUAACCAGAAAGUCACGGCUAACUACGUGCCAG